UUAGUUAAAGCCAAAAAGAGGCAUAUCACUGUUAAUGAUAUCAUUGAAUUUAUAAUUCUAACUAAA
Molecule: transfer RNA, 66 nt
Filed under: Scarites subterraneus
Lineage: Eukaryota; Metazoa; Arthropoda; Insecta; Coleoptera; Carabidae
Description: tRNA-Asn
Source: RNAcentral